Non-coding RNA from Globicatella sp. HMSC072A10, 71 nucleotides. Lineage: Bacteria; Bacillati; Bacillota; Bacilli; Lactobacillales; Aerococcaceae. The record is from Rfam.
CCACAUCUGCAACCGCACAAGUUGAGUUUUAAGACCUGAUGGCACUUAACAUGGCGAGUCUAAGUGUAGGG